RNAcentral lists this ribosomal RNA (252 nucleotides) under uncultured bacterium. RNAcentral describes it as "partial 16S ribosomal RNA". It matches the Rfam family "Bacterial small subunit ribosomal RNA", at positions 524 to 776 of the family's 1533-position model. The record is from RNAcentral.
UACGGAGGAUGCAAGCGUUAUCCGGAAUGAUUGGGCGUAAAGCGUCCGCAGGUGGCUGUGUAAGUCUGCUGUCAAAGAGCGAAGCUCAACUUCGUAAAGGCAGUGGAAACUACACGGCUAGAGUGCGUUCGGGGCAGAGGGAAUUCCUGGUGUAGCGGUGAAAUGCGUAGAUAUCAAGAGGAACACCUGCGGCGAAGGCGGGUUGCUGGGCUGAUACUGACGCUGAGGCGCGAAAGCCAGGGAGCGAACGGG